Molecule: microRNA precursor, 62 nt
Filed under: Pediculus humanus corporis (human body louse)
Lineage: Eukaryota; Metazoa; Arthropoda; Insecta; Psocodea; Pediculidae
Description: mir-9/mir-79 microRNA precursor family
Rfam family: mir-9/mir-79 microRNA precursor family
About the family: The mature ~21nt miRNAs are processed from hairpin precursor sequences represented here. miR-9 is processed from the 5' arm of its precursor, and miR-79 from the 3' arm. The bounds of the precursors are predicted based on conservation and base pairing and are not generally known.
Source: RNAcentral
UUCUUUGGUGAUCUAGCUGUAUGGAUAAUAAUUUUAUUCCAUAAAGCUAUUUUACCGAUGUC